AGAGUUUGAUCCUGGCUCAGGAUGAACGCUGACAGAAUGCUUAACACAUGCAAGUCUUUGGCGAAGCUGUGCUUGCACAGCCUAGCCAAGGCGGACGGGUGAGUAACGCGUAAGGAACUUGCCCUGCAGUCAGGGAUAACAGACGGAAACGACUGAUAAGACCUGGUAAAGUCAGGCGGACUCAUGUCCAGCCUGAUGAAAAGAGAUGCUGCAGGAGAGCCUUGCGUCCUAUUAGCUUGUUGGUGGGGUAACGGCCCACCAAGGCGAUGAUAGGUAGCCGGCCUGAGAGGGUGGACGGCCACAAGGGGACUGAGAUACGGCCCUUACUCCUACGGGAGGCAGCAGUGGGGAAUAUUGGACAAUGGGGGGCCCUUACUCCUACGGGAGGCAGCAGUGGGGAAUAUUGGACAAUGGGGGCAACCCUGAUCCAGCAAUUCUGUGUGCACGAUGAAGGUUUUCGGAUUGUAAAGUGCUUUCAGCAGGGAAGAAAAAAAUGACGGUACCUGCAGAAGAAGCGACGGCUAAAUACGUGCCAGCAGCCGCGGUAAUACGUAUGUCGCAAGCGUUAUCCGGAAUUAUUGGGCAUAAAGGGCAUCUAGGCGGCCAGAUAAGUCUGGGGUGAAAACUUGCGGCUCAACCGCAAGCCUGCCCUGGAAACUAUGUGGCUAGAGUACUGGAGAGGUGGACGGAACUGCACGAGUAGAGGUGAAAUUCGUAGAUAUGUGCAGGAAUGCCGAUGAUGAAGAUAGUUCACUGGACGGUAACUGACGCUGAAGUGCGAAAGCUAGGGGAGCAAACAGGAUUAGAUACCCUGGUAGUCCUAGCUGUAAACGAUGAUUACUGGGUGUGGGCAUGAAGAGUGUCCGUGCCGAAGCUAAUGCGAUAAGUAAUCCGCCUGGGGAGUACGGCCGCAAGGCUGAAACUCAAAGGAAUUGACGGGGACCCGCACAAGCGGUGGAGCAUGUGGUUUAAUUCGACGCAACGCGAGGAACCUUACCAGAUCUUGACAUCCUACGUAGGCCUGUGAGAACAGGCUGUGCCUUCGGGAACGUAGAGACAGGUGGUGCAUGGCUGUCGACAGCUCGUGUCGUGAGAUGUUGGGUUAAGUCCCGCAACGAGCGCAACCCCU
Molecule: ribosomal RNA, 1129 nt
Filed under: human oral metagenome
Description: bacterial SSU rRNA
Rfam family: Bacterial small subunit ribosomal RNA
Source: RNAcentral